UGUGUGAUGACCUUAAAUCAAAUAUCUAGCUCUCUUCUACAAUAAAAAGGCAUAGACCUGAAAAAAUGUGUGUGAAUAUUCAUUAUCCAAUAUGAUUUAGACAUGGCACUGUGUUGAAACACAGCCAUUCAGACUCCGCAAGACAAUAAGCAAACAAAAGAGUUGGUCAUUAAAGGUACCGAUAGUUUGAUGAACAGAUCAGAUAUUAACAGUGAAAAGCAUUAUACAUUGGGUAUGCACAUCAUUCCCAAAAGAUAGAAGUGGCACUAAAAUAGUUUUCCUGUUCUAUCCUCCUUAUCAUUUCCUAUGAAUAUGAGAUAAGUGUGAUUCCUAUAAUCCAUUUUUCUUACCUUUGAAAGGUUUGAAAAUAACAGAAUGAGAUUAGAGAAGUCAAUGUUUCCCUUUGUAAAAAGCUAAUGGAGACAAAAUCUUAGUCAUUGUGUAUAAAUACUAUAUUUGACCAGACCUGUACAAACCCUUUUGUUCCUCAGUAAUGGAACAACACAUAGAAGGAAAGGUUUCCACAGCCAACUGGCUCAUUUGUGUGAUCUGAACUCUUCAUGUAAUACAGAAUGCAUUUCUUCUUUCUUCAGUUUUUAUCAUCUGUCAGUGAGAAGAGAGCUAAAGACAGCUGUAGAGGCAGACAUAACGAUAUGCCCUGGCAGAGGAACGAGGGGGUACAAUUAGGUAGGGCUCUGAAGCUGUUAGUAGAGGCAGCAAGGCAAAUUAGUGGUGUGUGAAAAGAUGAUACAUUAUUCCUUACUGAAUGGUGCAGCAAUUAUUUUCUCUCUCUUCAUGGCAGGUCUUUUUGUGUGCUUGUGUGUUUUUUUUCUUCUUUAAUUUGCCAUAGUAUUAAUUGAGUGAAAGCUCUGUCAAAGUUACACCUAAUAGGUCUGGUGCAGUUCUGUCUUAUAUUUCACAGACGAAAAUAUGCUUGCGUUCAUGUGCAGUCUCUCUGAGGUAUCCAGGAUCAGUGUCCAGGUCUCUAGUACAGGAAUAGGAGGUGCUGCCCCAACUGGACACUUCUGGGCUUACCACUGUCACAUGGAUUCUAGAGCUCACAUAUGGAUGUGCUGCAGAGCUACAACUUCCACAUUUCUUACUCAAGCAAGAAAAUAGAACUGGAGACCUUCUCCUCCCUCAGUAAUCAAAAUAGGUAAGUCUUGUUUUAUCCGUAAGGAAUUUGCAGAGUGCAAACUCAUCCUCCUGUAAAAGCCUGAGAGUCAUUUUAAUUCUCCUAUCAAAAGAAUCAACAUAUAAUCUUGUUCCAACUCAGCUCAGACAGAACUUAGUGGUAGCAUGCUCAUUUCUGUACAGCAUAUUGGGUUACUUCUGGUAAUAAAU
Molecule: long non-coding RNA, 1344 nt
Filed under: Anas platyrhynchos platyrhynchos (common mallard)
Lineage: Eukaryota; Metazoa; Chordata; Aves; Anseriformes; Anatidae
Description: lncRNA (ENSAPLG00000026678.1)
Source: RNAcentral